This 72-nucleotide transfer RNA is filed under the name unidentified. RNAcentral's name for it is "Strongylium nakanei tRNA-Lys". The record is from RNAcentral.
UCAUUAGAUGGCUGAAAGUAAGCACCGGUCUCUUAAACCGUUCUAUAGUAACUAACAAAUACUUCUAAUGAA